UGACGAAUAUUCCGCAAUGGGCGCAAGCCUGACGGAGCGAUGCCGCGUGCGGGACGAAGCCCCUCGGGGUGUAAACCGCUGUCAGAGAUUAGCAAAACAAUGAGCAUUCUCAAAGGAAGAGGCGACUAACUCUGUGCCAGCAGUCGCGGUAAUACAGAGGCCUCGAGCGUUAAUCGGAGUCACUGGGCUUAAAGGGUGCGUAGGCUGGUCCGCAAGUGCCUUGUGAAAUCCCACGGCUCAACCGUGGAAGAGCUUGGUAGACUGCGGGUCUUGAGGUCGGUAGGGGCCGCUGGAACUCUAGGUGGAGCGGUGAAAUGCGUAGAUAUCUAGAGGAACGCCCAAGGCGAAGGCAGGCGGCUGGGCCGAUUCUGACGCUGAGGCACGAAAGCAUGGGUAGCGAACGGGAUUAGAUACCCGCGUAGUCC
This 425-nucleotide ribosomal RNA is filed under the name uncultured bacterium. Its description in RNAcentral is "bacterial SSU rRNA". It matches the Rfam family "Bacterial small subunit ribosomal RNA", at positions 355 to 796 of the family's 1533-position model. The record is from RNAcentral.